RNAcentral lists this ribosomal RNA (439 nucleotides) under uncultured bacterium. RNAcentral's name for it is "partial 16S ribosomal RNA". It matches the Rfam family "Bacterial small subunit ribosomal RNA", at positions 339 to 795 of the family's 1533-position model. The record is from RNAcentral.
CUACGGGGUGCACCAGUGGGGAAUCUUGGACAAUGGGCGCAAGCCUGAUCCAGCCAUGCCGCGUGAGUGAAGAAGGCCUUAGGGUCGUAAAGCUCUUUCGCCAGAGAUGAUAAUGACAGUAUCUGGUAAAGAAACCCCGGCUAACUCCGUGCCAGCAGCCGCGGUAAUACGGAGGGGGUUAGCGGUGUUCGGAAUUACUGGGUGUAAAGCGCGCGUAGGCGGAUUAGUCAGUCAGAGGUGAAAUCCCAGGGCUCAACCCUGGAACUGCCUUUGAUACUGCUAGUCUUGAGUUCGAGAGAGGUGAGUGGAAUUCCGAGUGUAGAGGUGAAAUUCGUAGAUAUUCGGAGGAACACCAGUGGCGAAGGCGGCUCACUGGCUCGAUACUGACGCUGAGGUGCGAAAGUGUGGGGAGCAAACAGGAUUAGAUACCCCUGUAGUC